Molecule: long non-coding RNA, 178 nt
Organism: Etheostoma cragini (Arkansas darter)
Lineage: Eukaryota; Metazoa; Chordata; Actinopteri; Perciformes; Percidae
Exons: 2
Source: RefSeq, a predicted model, not a curated record
ACAACACUUUGAACAAGUACAUGGAGGUUGUGACGUCAUGCUUCAGUUUCUGUGAGGACAGCUGUAUUCCAACCCAAACUCAGACAGCUAGGAUUGAUGAAAGAAGAGGUGUUCAGGAGUAGAGACAGCGACUGGUUUAAAGAGUCAAAGUGCAGGUUUAGUAAGGUGGUGAGAGAUG